AGAGUUUGAUCCUGGCUCAGGACGAACCCUUUCGGCGUGCCUAACACAUGCAAGUCGAGCGAAUGAAGUUCCUUCGGGAACGGAUUUAGCGGCGGACGGGUGAGUAACACGUGGGCAACCUGCCUCAUAGAGGGGAAUAGCCUUCCGAAAGGGAGAUUAAUACCGCAUAAGAUUGUAGUACCGCAUGGUACAGCAAUUAAAGGAGCAAUCCGCUAUGAGAUGGGCCCGCGGCGCAUUAGCUAGUUGGUGAGGUAACGGCUCACCAAGGCGACGAUGCGUAGCCGACCUGAGAGGGUGAUCGGCCACAUUGGGACUGAGACACGGCCCAGACUCCUACGGGAGGCAGCAGUAGGGAAUAUUGCACAAUGGGGGAAACCCUGAUGCAGCAACGCCGCGUGAGUGAUGACGGCCUUCGGGUUGUAAAGCUCUGUCUUCAGGGACGAUAAUGACGGUACCUGAGGAGGAAGCCACGGCUAACUACGUGCCAGCAGCCGCGGUAAUACGUAGGUGGCGAGCGUUGUCCGGAUUUACUGGGCGUAAAGGGAGCGUAGGCGGAUUUUUAAGUGAGAUGUGAAAUACUCGGGCUUAACCUGAGUGCUGCAUUUCAAACUGGAAGUUUAGAGGGCAGGAGAGGAGAAGGGAAAUUCCUAGGUGUAGCGGUGAAAUGGUUAGAGAUUAGGAAGAACACCGGGGGGCGAAGGCGUUUCUCUGGACUGUAACUGACGCUGAGGCUCGAAAGCGUGGGGAGCAAACAGGAUUAGAUACCCUGGUAGUCCACGCCGUAAACGAUGAUAACUCGCUGUCGGCGAUACACAGUCGGUGGCCAAGCGAAAGCAUUAAGUUAUCCACCUGGGGAGUACGACCGCAAGGUUGAAACUCAAAGGAAUUGACGGGGGCCCGCACAAGCGGAGGAACAUGUGGUUUAAUUCGAUGAUACGCGAGGAACCUUACCCGGGCUCGAACGGUGCAUGAAUAUACGAGAGAUUGUAUAGUCCUUCGGGACAUGUAUCGAGGUGCUGCAUGGUUGUCGUCAGCUCGUGCCGUGAGGUGUCGGCUUAAGUGCCAUAACGAGCGCAACCCUUGUCAUUAGUUGCCAUCAGGUCAAGCUGGGGACUUUAAUGAGACUGCCACCGUAAGGUGUGAGGAAGGGGGGGAUGACGUCAAAUCAGCACGGCCCUUAUGUCCGGGGCGACACACGUGUUACAAUGGGAGGUACAGAGGGCAGCUAUCCGGUGACGGAAUGCUAAUCUCCAAAACCUUUCUCAGUUCGGAUUGGAGUCUGCAACUCGACUCCAUGAAGGUGGAUUCGCUAGUAAUCGCGCAUCAGCCAUGGCGCGGUGAAUACGUUCCCGGGCCUUGUAAACACCGCCCGUCAAG
Molecule: ribosomal RNA, 1377 nt
Filed under: uncultured bacterium
Lineage: Bacteria
Description: partial 16S ribosomal RNA
Rfam family: Bacterial small subunit ribosomal RNA
Source: RNAcentral